UACGUCUUUUCUUCAUCACACAUCGCAUGUCCAUAGAAUGUAACAAUGUUGUACAACUUUCAGCAACGGAUCUCUUGGCUCUCGCAUCGAUGAAGAACGCAGCGAAUUGCGAUAAGUAAUGUGAAUUGCAGAUUUCCAGUGAAUCAUCGAAUCUUUGAACGCACCUUGCGCUCCUUGGUAUUCUGAGGAGCAUGCCUGUUUGAGUGUCAUUGAAUUCUCAACCACUUCUUGAUUUCUUUGUCAAGAGGAAUGGCUUGGAAUUGGGAGUUGUUGGCAGACCUUGACACUGUCGACUCUCCUGAAAUGUAUUAGCGAUGCUAUGCUAGUCUUCUUGGAUGUGCAUGGCCUUCGAUGUGAUAAUGAUCAUCGUGGCUGGAGACAUCUCUUGACUUAUGGCUUCAUUGCUUCUAAUCUGACUUGAAAGGACUUGGAAAUCAAGGAUCCUUUUGUUCAUUCGAGCUAGUCAGUCUUUAGCUUAGUUACUAGCCAGCCAUGAAGGCUGGCGAACACAAGCAAAACGAAAAAGGCUAAUCUAGUAGAGAACAUGGACAAUGAUGAUCAUCCUUUCAUUCUCUCAGAGACUUGACCUCAAAUCAGGUAGGACUACCCGCUGAACUUAAGCAUAUCAAUAAGCGGAGGAAAAGAAACUAACAAGGAUUCCCCUAGUAACUGCGAGUGAAGCGGGAAAAGCUCAAAUUUUGAAUCUGAUGGUCUUUGGCUGUCCGAGUNGUAAUCUAGAGAAGCGUUUUCUGUGCUGGACUGUGUAUAAGUCUCCUGGAAGGGAGCGUCAUAGAGGGUGAGAAUCCCGUCUUGGACACAGACUGCCAGUGCUUUGUGAUGCGCUCUCGACGAGUCGAGUUGUUUGGGAAUGCAGCUCAAAAUGGGUGGUAAAUUCCAUCUAAAGCUAAAUACAGGCGAGAGACCGAUAGCGAACAAGUACCGUGAGGGAAAGAUGAAAAGAACUUUGGAAAGAGAGUUAAACAGUACGUGAAAUUGCUGAAAGGGAAACGCUUGAUGUCAGUCACGUCGGCCAGGGAUCAACCUUGCUUAGUUGCUGGGUGCAUUUCCUGGUGGACGGGUCAGCAUCAGUUUCGGUCGUCGUACAAUGGUAAAGGGAAUGUGGCACCUCUUGGGGUGUGUUAUAGCCUUUUGUNGAAUGCGUCGGUCAGGACUGAGGAACUCGGCAUGAUCUA
RNAcentral lists this ribosomal RNA (1193 nucleotides) under Xerocomus amazonicus. RNAcentral describes it as "eukaryotic LSU rRNA". The stretch from base 584 to 1193 matches the Rfam family "Eukaryotic large subunit ribosomal RNA", at positions 1 to 609 of the family's 3401-position model. Lineage: Eukaryota; Fungi; Basidiomycota; Agaricomycetes; Boletales; Boletaceae. The record is from RNAcentral.